UACGGAGGGGGCUAGCGUUGUCCGGAAUUAUUGGGCGUAAAGGGCUCGUAGGCGGUUUGUCGCGUCGGGAGUGAAAACUCAGGGCUUAACCCUGAGCCUGCUUCCGAUACGGGCAGACUAGAGGUAUGCAGGGGAGAACGGAAUUCCUGGUGUAGCGGUGAAAUGCGCAGAUAUCAGGAGGAACACCGGUGGCGAAGGCGGUUCUCUGGGCAUUACCUGACGCUGAGGAGCGAAAGUGUGGGGAGCGAACAGG
RNAcentral lists this ribosomal RNA (253 nucleotides) under uncultured bacterium. RNAcentral's name for it is "partial 16S ribosomal RNA". It matches the Rfam family "Bacterial small subunit ribosomal RNA", at positions 524 to 776 of the family's 1533-position model. The record is from RNAcentral.